AUGACGGUCAAGACCUCGUCC
This 21-nucleotide small nuclear RNA is filed under the name Arabidopsis thaliana (thale cress). Its description in RNAcentral is "snRNA_12341". The record is from RNAcentral. Lineage: Eukaryota; Viridiplantae; Streptophyta; Magnoliopsida; Brassicales; Brassicaceae.